GAUGAAGAACGUAGCGAAGUGCGAUAAGUAAUGUGAAUUGCAGAAUUCCGUGAAUCAUCGAAUCUUUGAACGCAUAUUGCACUCUCUGGCAUUCCAGAGAGUAUGCCUGUUUGAGGGUCAGUUAAAUAAAAAUCGGGGUUGUUGCUGCUUUUUGUGGUGACACGUCGGAAUUGGGUCGUCUUUACCAUCGGUUAAGUGACCUAAAAUUUUAUGAUUUUUCGAACGUAUUUAAAUUUUUUAUGAACGUUUGCAAUAUUCGAAUAUUAGAUGUGGUCAUUCUCAUGAUUCGCGUCUAUAAUUUUUCAUCUAAUGACCUCAAAUCAGGUAAGAGUACCCGCUGAACUUAAGCAUAUCAAUAAGCGGAGGA
Molecule: unclassified non-coding RNA, 367 nt
Filed under: soil metagenome
Description: partial contains 5.8S ribosomal RNA, internal transcribed spacer 2, and large subunit ribosomal RNA
Rfam family: 5.8S ribosomal RNA (bases 1-120)
Source: RNAcentral